This is an RNA transcript of Zophobas morio, 599 nucleotides long. It is a transcript of the gene named WD repeat-containing protein 82-A-like, with no coding region annotated. The record is from RefSeq and is a predicted model, not a curated record. NCBI's taxonomy places the organism in Eukaryota, Metazoa, Arthropoda, Insecta, Coleoptera, Tenebrionidae. The transcript has 5 exons.
UACUGACCGGUUCUUGUCUGGCGCGGCAGACGGCACCGUUCGUCUAUGGGAUUUGCGGUCGCCCCGCUGUCAGGGCUGCCUUCAGGCCGGUGGGCUGCCUAUACCCCUCUUUGAUCCACAAGGUUCAAACUUUGCUGUGGCCUUGGAUGCAAAAUCUAUAAAAAUUUAUUCGUUAGCCAAGUUUCUCUCGGGGCCUGCUUGUACAUUUACCUUCGAUCUUCCUGAGUUGUUGACUUCUGAAUGGCGACUCCUUCGUUACAGCCCCGACGGGAAAAGCCUACUUAUCGCCACGAACGGUGAUCACUUUCUCGUGGAUGUUUCUAAUGGCGCCAUCCACGCAAAGUUAUCAGGCCACGUCAACGCGCAAGACGUGUGCUUUUCCCCGGACGGCCGGUUUGUACUUAGUGGCUCGGAAGACGGUGGCAUCUACUGCUGGGAUCUGAAAGGAGAAUUAGUUUACGCCUUUGAGGGGCACAAAACCGCUAUCAGGCAAGUUAGAUUUAAUCCAAAGUUCAUGAUGGUUGCCUCUGCCGCUGAAUGCUUGGCUUUCUGGAUUCCGAACUUAAAGAAAUUAGACUUUUGAUGUCGUUAAAAAUAAA